RNAcentral lists this ribosomal RNA (322 nucleotides) under uncultured eukaryote. RNAcentral describes it as "partial 18S ribosomal RNA". It matches the Rfam family "Eukaryotic small subunit ribosomal RNA", at positions 1470 to 1796 of the family's 1831-position model. The record is from RNAcentral.
CCCUUAGAUGUUCUGGGCCGCACGCGUGCUACACUGAGUAAAUCAAUGGGUAAGGGAACACGAAAGUGCAACCUAAUCUUCAAAUUUGCUCGUGAUGGGGAUCGACGGUUGCAAUUUUCCGUCGUGAACGAGGAAUACCUUGUAGGCGCGUGUCAUCAUCACGCGCCGAAUACGUCCCUGCCCUUUGUACACACCGCCCGCCGCUCCUACCGAUUGAGUGAUCCGGUGAGGCUCUGGGACCUGGACGGAAAGAGCGUUUCGCUUGUUCUGUUUGGGAAACUUGGUCGAACCUUAUCAUUUAGAGGAAGGAGAAGUCGUAACA